Molecule: non-coding RNA, 980 nt
Organism: Cinara cedri
Lineage: Eukaryota; Metazoa; Arthropoda; Insecta; Hemiptera; Aphididae
Source: the annotation of a GenBank genome assembly
GUUGGUGAUAUUUAUAAUCAUAUUAUCAGUUGCAAAACAUAUAUCGAUAUUUGAAUGAUUUAUACUUAUAAAACAAGUUUAUUAAUUUAUGUGAUUAUGGGUGUUCCACGGAGCUAUACUCAUUGUAAUAUCUCCAGAGAUAACAAAUAAUCAAUUUAUGUUUGUUUUUAUAUUACUCACAGGGAUAAGUACUAUAAGACUACAAAUAUUUAUAUUUGAAUUAAAUUUGUAUGUUUUAGUAAAAAAAUUUAAAAACAACUUUAUAUUUUCAUUUAAAUUUGUGAAUUAUAAUAUUUUUUUAGAGUUCAGAGAAAAAAGUAUAUAAUCAAUUAGGUACUUUUAAUAAUAAUAAGAAUUAUUAUAAUUUAUAUAAAUCUUAUAAAAGUAGUUAAAAAAAACAAAAGUUAAUUAUCUUUAUUAUCUCUGGGGAUGAUAUUAUUUUAGUGUGGGUACAUAUUUUUGGGAUAUUAAUAAAUGUCCACUUGGAAGACCAAGAACAAGAUUGAAAGACACCGUAGAAAAGGUAUAGAGAUUGAUAGAUGGGAGUCCAAAGUUAGACUGGGUUUUGGUCAGAGAAAAAUGGAAAGGUUUACUAGUGGUAGUGCAAUUCCUGAAUAGACCAUUAAGCUGGGAGUGAUGAUCUUUUUCGGGACAUCUUGUAUAAUUUAGUUGAUUAAAUUUUAUACCUAGUUAAAUGUUUAUUGAACAUGCAUUUUUUCUAAAGAAUACUUGUAAUAUAUUUAUAGUAGUUUUAAAUUAAUCUACGGAGGAGGGUUAUAAUAAACUAGUGCUCAUCUUGGGCCUCAUACUUGUUAUUUUUACAAUUUCUUAAUAUAAUAUAAUCCCAAUUUUAGAUUCAUGAAGCAAUGGAAUGUACUGAUUUUACACCUUUUUUUUAUUUUAAAAAUUUUCUUCCAGCAAUCAUCUUGCUCAGAUUUUCAAGUGUAGCACAUUUUUAUAAAAGUUUAUUUAACCUGGAU